GGUUUGUCUUCUUUAUGGGCUAGUCGGAUCUGACAAGGGUUGCCACGGCAACCAGAUGUGCAAUAGCUUGAAAAAUGUGGGAGAGAGGUAAGUGGAGCAGAGGUAGAAGAUUUUUCAGGACAAGCUAGCCCCACAUUUGCCAAAGGAUAAGGGGUAAAUUGUACAUGUAUUUGUUGAAAAGCAUUUGCAAUGCUGGCAUUCCUUUAUUUCUAGCACGAAGCAAAAAAUCCACAAGUGCCACACUAUUUACUUAAGGUUCAAAGAUGCUUUGUGGAGCUUUCCUUGCCACCUGCUUCCACCUAACUUUGCCAAAUGCCUGGAAAACAACUGUCUUGCUCCUUGUCUCUAACAGCAGCUUGAUCUACAGAUAUAUAGACGAUGAGCUUUCUCACCGGCUAAUGUUUGUAGAUCUAGCUGAUGUGAAGGACACAGAAGCAGUGGCUGGUAAAAUCACUGGCAGUCCUGCUUCUGAGUAGAGUUGUGUCCGUCCCCCCCUUUCUGGGCCUUUAGCAUGCAAAAAUUCAGCAGGUGUGAAGCUUUUCCUGGCAUGGAUCAAAGUGGUAGAAAGAGCUUUCCUCUAUUGUUUUAAAGUCUCAGUCUGCUGUUUAAGAUGCGCAGGAUCAAGGCUGGGUAUAAGAGUAGCAACCCUAUUUCUUUUGACCAUGAUGGGAAUGAAUUCCCGGCACGCGUUCUAUGAAGGCCAAUGUCACACCACGUACACAAAACUCUGCACAGAUUGGCAUUUUGCAAGCUCUUGACCCACAGAGCAGACAAAGCAGGGAGCUAUCUCAGACAGCAUCGUUCAAAAGGUGGGCACUAGCAACAACUGAAUUUGUCCAUUUCAGUUUCUCCUUUUUCCAAUCUUGGCUUGAGUUCCCCACAUUUCCACAGCAACUUGGGGGUUUCUUUUUUUUAAAAUAGCUUUUUUGUACCUGUUGCUUCCUCAGGUACAGUUAAAGCUAAAGGGACCCCUGACCAUUAGGUCCAGUCAUGACCGACUCUGGGGUUGCGCGCUCAUCUCGCUCUAUAGGCCAAGGGAGCCGGCGUUUGUCCGCAGACAACUUCUGGGUCAUGUGGCCAGCAUGACUAAGCCGCUUCUGGCGAACCAGAGCAGCACACGGAAAUGCCGUUUACCUUCCCGCCGGAGCGGUACCUAUUUAUCUACUUGCACUUUGACGUGCUUUCGAACUGCUAGGUUGGAGGGAGCAGGGACUGAGCAAUGGGAGCUCACCCCGUCGCAGGGAUUCGAACUGCCGACCUUCUGAUCGGCAAGUCCUAUGCUCUGUGGUUUAACCCACAGCACCACCCGCGUCCCUUAGGCCACAACAAAAUCCUAGGGUUGGAAGGGACUUCAAAGAUUAUCUGGUCAAAUUCCUUGUGCAAAAAAACCCCACUGCUACAACAUUCCUCCUAGGUGGACCAUCCAGCCUCUACUUAAAAACCUUGAAUGAACUACCUGCCUUUUGAAACAGUAUGUCCCAUUGUCCAACAGAUUCCACUGUCCAGGCGUCCUUCCUAAUGCUUCGUCUAAGGACCUUUUCUUGUAAUUCUGAGCCCAGUGGCUUGGGCCCUUACCUCUGGAGCAGAGAGGAACCUUUUCAUCCCCAAAUGGCGCAUGGACAGCCUUCAAGGACAGCAUGGCAGUAGCAAAUGGGGCCAGAGGUAAAUCGUAGGUGAAGCAGUGAAUGUGACUCACCUUUGUAUAAGAGGCUACAGGCUACAUCCACCUAGGCAAAAGUCAGAGGUUUCUACACAUCCACCCAUCUGUUCAUCUUCCACCCAUGCAAACAAAAGGCAGGACCACAAUUGAAGGGCACAAACAGCCUGGCAAAAGCACUCAAAGUGGGCCAUUGAGGGGCUUGGUGAGAGAGUCCUUGCUGGAUAUAGAGAAGCAUGGGGCAUCGCACUGGCCCUCCAGGCUUGAGGUUCACCAGCACCACCUCUGCUCUGCAGCAAAAAAAAAAAAAGCAAAUUUGCUCCAUCGCCUAUUUAACAGUCCUUCAAAUAGUGGAAGUUGGCAAUCCUAUCACCUCUUUAUCAUCUCCUCUUCUCCAGGCUAAAAUGUGCCCAAUGCUUUCCUCUGAGUCAUACAAUGUCUGCACAGUAGGACUUUUUAAAAACCAUCAUGGAAAGCAUGUCAUAAGCAAGAGUCAGCCAGUACGUAAUACUUUCUCGUGACUGACCAUGAUGCUGGAUCUCAUCUAGGGAUGAGGGAGAAAUUUGAUUCAGUUCAUGUUCAAAGAUGAACAUACCUAAUUUGUACUUCCCGAAACAAUACGAGAGUAAAAACACAGCCAACCUUCAAAAUUCACCCUUCUCCAGAUUUCUUCAGCUGAGUAAUGUGUACAAAGAUGCAUAUACUAGGGUGACGUGUGCAUAUAUUAGUGAAAAUAACAUUAUAUUUAGGGAAAUUUUGCUAGCAUGUUAGGCAAAACUGCAUAGAAGUAUGUAUAUAUUCAGAGAAAUGCACACUAAAAUGCAGAUGAAUUCUCAUGAGAAUAUAUAUAUAUAUAUCUGUAAUGAACUGAUGUGCAAAUGUGGAGAACUGAAUUUAAGAUUGGAAAUAUGCGAAGUUGAAAAUGAUAGAUUUGCCCAUCUCUAGUCUCAUCUGUAUGAAAUAGAGAAAGAACAGAGAGUAAAGAACUCAUAGUGCAAAUCCUAAUUUUUUUGAGCGAGGGAAGUUUUGUAUUUUUUCGUAGCAGAGGACUCUGACUCUGACUAGAUGCCUGCUUCCAUUAGAGUCAUGCAGAGGGGAAUAGGAUUGGCUCAUCAGCUGUUCGAGCACGCCAGUGCAAGUAGAUAAAUAGGUACUGCUGCGGUGGGAAGGUAAACAACGUUUUUGUGCGCUCUGGUUUCCAUCACGGUGUCCCGUCACGCCAGAAGCAGUUUAGUCCUGCUGGCCACAUGACCCGGAAAGCUGUCUGUGGACAAACGCCGGGUCCCUCAGCCUGAAAGCGAGAUGAGCGCCUCAACCCAAGAGUCACCUUUGACUGCACUUAACCAUCCAGGGGUCCUUUACCUUUUACCUUACCUUACAGUUGAUAGUUGCAGGGGAGUAAAAAGAAUUUACUUUUCUCCCAUAGGUAACUUUUGUUUGUGGAUCUUGGGCACUGAUUAAAUAGUGUUAUAGGGGCCCAAGGUGCUACUGCAGUCUUCUUCUUCUUCCUUCUCUCCCCCCCCCCCGCCUUCUUCUUCAAAUCCAUUCCCCAAAGCACUAGGAUUUAAGAAGCCUGGUCUUUUUUUCCUGUCUGAUUACAAGCUUGACUGUCAGCUGCAACAGAACACUCCCUCCUCCAUCUCCCCAUCCUGACAUUUUGGUCUAUCUUCCCCACUCACCUCACCUAACCUGGCAAGCUUAGAGGCAUUACUUUUGCUUUUAGCAGACACCUCUAUUGAUCUCUACAGUGGUACCUCGGGUUAAGUACUUAAUUCGUUCCGAAGGUCCGUUCUUAACGUGAAACUGUUCUUAACCUGAGGUACCACUUCAGCUAUUGGGGCCUCCCGCUGCUGCCACUGCGCCACUGGAGCACGAUUUCUGUUCUCAUCCUGAAGCAAAGUUCUUAACCUGAGGUAAUAUUUCUGGGUUAGUGGAGUUUGUAACCUGAAGCGUAUGUAACCCGAGGUACCACUGUAUUUGCCUUGGAUGAGCCCAGAAAAUCUCUGAAGCACCCCCACCAACAUGAAUCCAAACCAACUGUACAACCCUAGCAAGCAAGACAUUAUUUUCUGCAUAUUCUUAUAUAAAUUUUGGCUUCAAGAAACAUUCCUACAUACCAGACUUCUGAUAAAUGAACAAAAAGAAGAGAGGCUUGGUGUGUGAAUAUUAUUAUUACUAUUACUAUUACUAUUACUAUUACUAUUAUUUAGUAAUGAGGGUUUUUUGGCCAAUUGGCAACUCUCCACCACAGUCAAAUCCAAUUCAGCAGUAAGUUCCAUUGGAUUCCUUGGGACUUUCUCCCAAGUAACCAAGUACAGGAUAGUAGCUUCAGUUUUGUUAUAUUGGGCUUAGAGGUAUUGGGGCAGUAAAAAAAAUAAAUGUUGGCUUUCUUGCUUGCUGAAUAAAAAUAAAAAUAAUACAGACAUUUGGAACAGGACAAAGGUGUUUGUUUCAUUCUUCGCUCUUUCUACCCCAAACAAUAUCCAAAUUGUACCUGUGGGCAAUCACAUGGCCACAUUCAACAGAGCAAAUUUUGAAUGCAAUAAUCUUGAGGGAAGUCCCAUCUUGUUUCAAUUAUAUGCUUUCAGUGCUUAGGAUGAAAAAAAGGGGGGUGGCCUUUCUACUACCUUGAAAGAAAAAGCCCUUUCAGGAUGGGGUGUGUGUGUGUGUGUGUGUGUGUGUGUGUGUGUUAUCACUGAUGCAAUAAUAGUGCCUUAAUGGUGGAAUUGGGGAUGCGGGACUUGACAAUCAGAAGGUUCGAAUCCCCGCGACGGGGUGAGCUCCCGUUGCUCGGUCCCUGCUCCUGCCAACCUAGCAGUUCAAAAGCACGUCAAAGAGCGAGUAGAUAAAUAGGUACCGCUCCAGCAGGAAGGUAAACGGCGUUUCCGUGUGCUGCUCUGGGUCACCAGAAGCAGCUUAGUCAUGCUGGCCACAUGACCCGGAAGCUGUACGGCGGCUCCCUCGGCCAAUAAAGCAAGAUGAGCACCGCAACCCCAGAGUUGGUCAUGACUGGACCUAAUGGCCAGGGGUCCCUUUACCCUUUAAUGGUGGAAUUAUACUGGACCAUCUGCACAUCGUUCCAUUUUGUAAGUUGUUCUGUUGGGCUUCCUGAAUGAUCCUGCCACCCCGAAGAGGCAUCCCAAAAAAUGAACCAGAACAUUUGUUUUAAGAUUUCAGAAGGAAGCUACAGGACAUGCACUAACUGGAAACAAUACAGUAGCCCCCCCCCCAAAUGGUUGCAAGCUGAAAUGGUAUUAAAAGAAGAAUCACAUAUAAGCACCCCAGUAUCAACAUGAGCACAAAUCAUCAUGAAAGCACACAAAAGGACAUCCAUAGGGCGUCAAAAGUGUAGCCCAAAUAACAAACCAAUAUGCAAAUAUUACCCACACAAUCCCACAAUGCAAAACUGCUAAUGCAUAGCAGGCUCAGCGUGGAAAUAUGAAAGUGGUUUAAGUUGAAUCUCAUCAGGGUGUAAAAACCAAGUUGACAAAAAUUUAGCUUGGUUGCAAAGUAAGUCUUAGCAUAGGGUCACUUCUGUCAUGUCCUUCCAUCCAGAACUUCAGGUUAUGGAAGCUGGUGGGCCUACAUCCAUUGAUUGUAAUCUAGCCUUUGCUUUAAAGGGAAAAUAAAAAGGCAUUGCAACAGUGGAGUUCCUAGCCCAUAACUUUUCGCUCCCCACCCACACAAGCACACAACAACAAAGGAAAUGAAACAGGCUCCACACCCACUGCUACCCCUCAGGAAAUUGCAGAUUCCAUCCACGCAGCCGCCUCCUUCGCCCUGGACUCCAGUCCUGGUGUGUGCGCAAGGCCCGUUGGUUGCCAUGGCAACAGAGGGAGAAUGGCUUGGGUCUCUGUUUCCAAUUUAAUAUCAAAUAAGCCUUAACGUGCAGUUUAUGAAACAUGUUGAGGGGGAGAGAUGAGGGGGGUGGGUUUGGAUCCCGGGAGCCAAGCUGCCAGCUAGGAAAAGGCUCUCUAUGCCGCAGUGGAGAAACUUUAAAGCCAAGUGUCCAGUAAUUGUAAGCAUAAUUAUUUGGGGAUCCCAAAUCCCCAGCUUUGCCGAAGAUGGCUUUUGGGCUGAUGUCUCCUGAUGAUCCACAUUGCUCUAGAUUUCUCUUGCAAAAAGAGAUGCUUUGCAUAUCCCCCAGCAGGAAGAUGUACAUACAAGCUGUCCCAUCAACUGGGAGUUUGUGUCUGGCCCAGCAAGGAAGCUGCAAAUGUUUCACACCAGACUGUAUCAUUUGGAAAAAUGGGAAGCACACAAUGAAACCAUGCUUCCUGGUUCCUUUCAUGUGACUGUCUCAUCCCAAGCCAUUCUUUUGCUGAAGCAUAUGGGCUUGGAAGGCAAUCACAUUGAAAUCAAUGGCUGGGGAAAUGAGUUUAGUAGUAGGAUGUUUGGUUUUCAGAAGCCAGCAAAAUAAAUCCACUCAGAAUAGUAAUCAGCCACUCAGUGCACUUUAACCCCUUUCUUCUUGUGUAUGCACUGUUACAAGGGAUGCGGGUGGCGCUGUGGGUUAAACCACAGAGCCUAGAACUUGCCGAUCAGAAGGUCGGCGGUUCGAAUCCCUGCAACGGGGUGAGCUCCUGUUGCUCAGUCCCAGCUCCUGCCAACCUAGCAGUUCGAAAGCACGUCAAAGUGCAAGUAGAUAAAUAGGUACCACUCUGGCGGGAAGGUAAACGGCGUUUCCAUGUGCUGCUCUGGUUCGCCAGAAGCGGCUUAGUCAUGCUGGCCACAUGACCUGGAAGCUGUACGCCGGCUUCCUCGGCCAAUAAAGCCAGAUGAGCACCGCAACCCCAGAGUGGCCACGACUGGACCUAAUGGUCAGGGGUCCCUUUACCUUUACCUUUAUGCACUGUUACAUUACUCUGCCACCUUUCUUCCAAGGAGCUUGAGGUGAUUCGCCCCUUCUCCAUUUUAUCCUCACAGCAACCCUGUGAGGUAGGUUAGGCUGAGGGACAGUGACUGGCACAUGGUCAUUCUGAGCUUCAUGGCUGAGUCCAGGACUCUAACCACUAAGGUAAAGGUAAAGGUAAAGGAUCCCUGGACAGUUAAGUCCAGUCAAAGGCAACUAUGGGGUUGUGGCGCUCAUCUUGCUUUCAGGCCGAGGGAGCCAGCGUUUGUCCACAGACAGCUUUCUGGGUCAUGUAGCCAGCACGACUAAACCGCUUCUGGCACAACAGAUCACUGUGACGGAAGCCAGAGCACACAGAAACGCCGUUUACCUUUCCGCCACAGCAGUACCUAUUUAUCUACUUGCACUGGCGUGCUUUCGAACUGCUAGGUUGGCAGGAGCUGGGACAAAGCAAUGGGAGCUCACUCCGUCUGCAGGAUUUGAACCACAGACCUUCUGAUCGGCAAGCCCAAGAGGCUCAGUGGUUUAGAGCACAGCGCAACUGCAUCCCACACCAGCUCUGAGGUAGGAUUUUAAUAUGAAUGCUGACUGGAGUAUUCAGCUGAGGUAAUGAAAAAGGGGGAAAGUGCCUGAUAUGGUGGGCAUGCCUUAAGUUUUUAAGUGUAAAGUGUUCUUACCCUAUACACACACAAUUAAGUUACACAUGGGGAAAGGUACUGAGAUUGUGCCAGGUGGCCCUACAGACACACCAUGACCUCUGCACAUCGAUCCCACAUGCCCAACAUUUAUAUGUUGGACAUCAUGCUUUCAAAGGGCCCAGUGCCUCUUGACACCAUUGAGCAUAGGCCCAAAACAUGCUACAUGUACGCUCCAAAUUUGCAACAUGUAGACUAUGGAAUUUGGGUCAAUACGUAGAGCACUCUACACAAAUGUGUUGCAUCGUCCAUGGAAACCAAGCAUUCUCAGGAGAAGAUGUGGACAGCGACCUCCCAUCCACUAUGGGAAGAAUAUUCAGGCCAUUGUGAAAGCACAGACACACAUCCUGUCCGGUCACUAUGGCAGUCUGGGAUGUUGAGGGUCGUACGGUUAGGACAUAGUCAAAAUUAUGUAAAGCAGUUCUGUGUAAAUGCCCACAAAACAACAACAUGAGCUGUUGCACAAAGUUGAGAAAUGAAGAAAUUGAAAAAGUUUCCAGUUAAUUUUGUUUUUGAAAGUCAACCUGGAGCAGUCUUGGCGCUUCCCCUUGUAAAACUCAGCAAGGAGGAGCAUAGAGAUGAAACUAGAAUGAGCUAACAUUGACUCCAUGUAUUAUUUGGGUUCCCUGCCUUCCGCCCCACCUGUCCAAAUGGGGACCAGCCACCACUGGCUGGAGGUGGGACUGUUCCCAGCAGGAAGCAGACAGGAAGCAUAAAGAAAGUGGGAAUCAUGUUUGGGGUUAUCAGUUCUUAUAAUUCUCUGGGAAUGUUGAAAUGGUAUAUUCUCUGGAUCAGAGGUGGCCCUCCAGAUGAUGUUGGCCAGUAUUGAGGGCUGAUGGAAGUUGUAGUCCAACAACACUGGGAGGGCCAUAGACAGUGAAGACUGGUCCAUUGGGGCAGGUGGGGCGCUGCCGAACCUAGAUCAGCCUGCCCUCAGCCAGUCCCUACCUAUCUGCCUCCUUACAACCAUCUCCAACUCCUCGAAAGAUUUCAUCAAUGGUGUCUCCAAAAAUUUUUUACACAUCACUUGGGAAGACAGGAGAACUAAUAUCAGUGUACUGGAAAAAGCAAAGAUCACCAGUGUUGAAGCAAUGAUUCUUCAACAUCAACUUCGUUGGACUAGUCAUGUUGUGUGGAUGCCUGAUGAUCGUCUUCCAAAGCAACUACUCUAUUCCAAACUUAAAAAUGGAAAGCGUAAUGCUGGUGGUCAACAAAAGAGGUUUAAUGACUGUCUCAUGGCAAAUCUUUAAAAAUGUAGUAUAAACACUGACAACUGGGAAACGCUGGCCUGCGAACGCUCCAGUUGGAGAACAGCCUUUACCAAGGGUGUCAUGGACUUUGAAGACACUCGAAGUCAGGAAGCAAGGGAGAAACGUGCUAGGAGGAAGGCACGCUUGGCAAAUCCACACCGUGAUCAACUCCUGCCCGGAAACCGAUGUCCCCACUGUGGAAGGACGUGUGGAUCUAGAAUUGGCCUCCACAGUCACUUACGGACCCACUAUUAAAACUGUGUUUAUGGAAGACAGUCUUACUCUGCUACUAGUAAUCGCUGAAGAAGUAUUGUAGAGUUGGAAGGGACCCAAGAGUCUUCUAGUCCAACCCCCUGCAAUGCAGGAAUCUCAGCUAAAGCAUCCAUGACAGAUGGCCAUCUAACCUUUGCUUUAAAACCUCCGAGGAAGAAGAGUCCACAACCUCUCAAGAGAGUCCGUUCCACUAUCAAACAGCUUUUGCUGUCAGAAAAUUCUUCCUGGUGUUUAGCCUUUCUUGUAACUUGAAGCCACUGGUUUGGGUCCUACCUUCCUGAGCUGCUUCCUCUUCCAUGUGACAGCUCUUUAGAUAUUUGAAGAUGGCUAUCAUAUCUGCUCUCAGUCUCCUUUUAUCCAGGCUAAGCAUAUGCAACUCCCUCAACCAUUCCUCAUAAAACUUGGUUUCUAGAUCCUUGAUCAUAUUAGCCGCCCUCCUCUGCACACAUUCCAGUUUGUCAAUGGCCUUCUUCAGUUGUGGUGCCCAGAACUGGAUACGGUACUCCUGGUGUGGUCUCACCAAGGCAGAAUAGAGCAGUACUAUUACUUCUUUCCUGCUCCUUAGUCUCAUGGGUGCCCCUUGUAGAACUCAGCAGGGAGGAGGAUGAGCUGAGGGGCUCUCUGUGGGACUGUCUCCACAAAGUCCAGCUAGUAAAGACCUGUGGACCUGUGAAACUCAUGGAUAAGCAGGUGAAAGUGGAGAACAAAGGAACCCUUAACAAACCACAGUUACUAGAUUCUUUGGAGGAAGCCAUGUGCUUUAAAUGUGCAUUCAAUGUGCUUUAAAUUAUCUGCCUUUGAUCUGGGAUAGGGGGUGGGGAGAAAUGUUAUCUUCAAAGUUUAAUUCCCAGCUCACUUAAUCAGCAAGACUUUGCUUUAUGAACCAGGUUGUAGCGGAUCAGCACUCAAGGUGUGGACAUGCUAUUGAUUCACAUAUUGGUAGCAUGAGCUUUUCUUUCUUUCUUUUUCCUACCCCUUUCUUAAUCGUACUAAAUGUUCCCUUUAUGCCAAUGUUUCCAGGGACCAGUUUAUACCAGCUCCACACCUCUUGACCAGCAACAGUUAAUAUAGGUCCCAAAAUGUAUGUAAAUAUAGUUGUGGAUUAUUCCGCAGACACCCAUGCACGCAGAGGCCCACACAUAUAUUACACACCCACACAACUCGUAUUGCUUUGCCCUUAUCAACAAUGAAUUGCAUCUGCUAUUUCAUUGCCUGCUUCCUACCGGCGUCAUGAAAUCCUCCAGCUUUAUGCCUCAAAAUACAUUUAUCCUGGGCUAUAGAGUUUAGAGUACACACAUAAAAUGAUUAAUUUAUAUUCUUAGGGCGAAUGCAUUCAAUAUUUAUGUGUAUAGUAACUGUAAUUGUAUAGAACCUAGCUUAAUUACAAUAAAUAAAUGUUACUUAUUAUUACUGUUAUUCCCUGGACUCCAGAGUGUGAUUAAAGCAGGAUACAAAUGCAGAUCUACUGGUAGUUUCUUAAAGCGAGACAGGCAAUUUUUGUCACCACUUGCUUUACAUUUAAUUACAGGCUCAGGGAGAGUGCAAAGCUGGUUCAACACAAUAGUUUUGACAGGGAGAAGUUUUCGUUGUUGAUCAGUGGCUGCUGAACAGAGCUGGCCUGGGGCAUUUUGCUGCCUGAAGUUCAGCCUCCCCACUCCCACCCUAUCCCAUCCCAUAGCAUCACAGAAGCCGAUGAGACCAGCAGCUGAAUUUUACUUCAGCACUGGCGACGGGACAGCAUCCUCUGCCACAACUGAAGACGGCAGCC
RNAcentral lists this long non-coding RNA (10495 nucleotides) under Podarcis lilfordi (Lilford's wall lizard). Lineage: Eukaryota; Metazoa; Chordata; Lepidosauria; Squamata; Lacertidae. The record is from RNAcentral.